UCAAUUAAUAAAUCGAUGGUACAUUAUGUUGAUAUUAAUUAUUGGUAAUUUUUUACGAAUAUUUUUAACAAUUACUUUAUACUAUUCUACAAUUAACUUAUUAAAAAAAUAACAUUGGCUUUUAUAUUUUUAAAAAUCUAUAGGUACCUACACAGUUUUUCUUAUUUGUUAUAUAUUUCUUUGCAUAGAUUUACUUUAGAGAUGUAAUAAUAUCUAAUAAA
Diabrotica virgifera virgifera (western corn rootworm) is the source of this 221-nucleotide long non-coding RNA. RefSeq lists it as uncharacterized. The record is from RefSeq and is a predicted model, not a curated record. Lineage: Eukaryota; Metazoa; Arthropoda; Insecta; Coleoptera; Chrysomelidae. The transcript has 2 exons.